This 413-nucleotide long non-coding RNA is filed under the name Mizuhopecten yessoensis (Yesso scallop). RNAcentral's name for it is "uncharacterized LOC110458481, transcript variant X1". The record is from RNAcentral. Lineage: Eukaryota; Metazoa; Mollusca; Bivalvia; Pectinida; Pectinidae.
UUACCUAUAAUGACAAAGGUAUACAGCCCAUUGUCUAUAUAUAUAGCUUUAUUGAUGUCUCCCUUAACAGUAUACGUGUGUGAGUCAGCUAGCUGUGGACGAACAUGAGAAGCCUAACAACGUACCCGGACACAUACACAUUAGAUUAACGUUUAGAGUGGCUGCCAGGAUACACACGUACCGGGACAUGUCGUUUACACCUACAUCGGCAAAAAUGAUAUUUAGCAGGAGAACAUAUGGUGUCAUUGUAUGCUGUCAUUGUUAAAUGAGUGUAGAGGGAGUCACAGGACCGGAUCACCUUUGAAUGUCCAGAUUUCCAAGAAGUUAAGGAGAAAUCUGUCGUUAACAGACACAUUUGACUUCAAAGCGAAGAAGGUACUAGACAGGUUCAGUAUAGAAGGAAGAUCGGGAAG